RNAcentral lists this ribosomal RNA (403 nucleotides) under uncultured bacterium. Its description in RNAcentral is "partial 16S ribosomal RNA". It matches the Rfam family "Bacterial small subunit ribosomal RNA", at positions 30 to 526 of the family's 1533-position model. The record is from RNAcentral.
AUUGCACGCUGGCGGCAGGCCUAACACCUGCAAGUCGAGCGAGCGGCGGACGGGUGAGUAAUGUAUGGGGACUGCCCGAUAGAGGGGGAUAACUACUGGAAACGGUGGCUAAUACCGCAUACUAUCGGAUAACCCAUAUGGGAUUAGCUAGUAGGUGGGGUAAAGGCUCACCUGGGCGACGAUCGCUAGAUGGUCUGAGAGGAUGAACAGCCACACGGGGACUGAGACACGUCCCAUACCCCUCCGGAGCGAGCAGUGGGGACUAUUGCACAAUGGGCGCGAGCCUGAUGCAGCCAUGCCGCGUGUAUGAAGAAGGCCUUAGGGUUGUAAAGUACUUUCAGCGGGGAGGCGUUACCCGCAGAAGAAGCCCCGGCUAACUCCGUGCCAGCAGCCGCGGUAAUUC